This is a long non-coding RNA of Octodon degus (degu), 187 nucleotides long. RefSeq lists it as uncharacterized. The transcript has 3 exons. Lineage: Eukaryota; Metazoa; Chordata; Mammalia; Rodentia; Octodontidae. The record is from RefSeq and is a predicted model, not a curated record.
GGGAAGACUUUAAAGGAGUAAGGCGAAAAGGAAAGGAAGGAAGCUAACAGCAGUACGAAGACUUCAAAAAGCAUGUGCAUCAGACAUCAGAAACCGAGGCCCAGAAGCGGCAUCUGCCAAGGAACAAAGCCAAUUCUACUAUCUCUCUUGCAAUUUAAGGAGAAAGGGUUCACUGUGCAGUUGAUGG